Onychomys torridus (southern grasshopper mouse) is the source of this 1789-nucleotide long non-coding RNA. RefSeq lists it as uncharacterized. The transcript has 3 exons. The record is from RefSeq and is a predicted model, not a curated record. NCBI's taxonomy places the organism in Eukaryota, Metazoa, Chordata, Mammalia, Rodentia, Cricetidae.
GGCCCAGGCCUUCCCUCCCGUCUCCCUUCCUUGCUUCCCUGUGCCCUCCCCUUUCUUCCCUCUGCUGGGUCCAGCCUGGUGCCUGGGAAGCAGAUGCCUACCUUGGCAUCCCAGCUGGCUGGAGGAUGUCCCAAGUCCCAAGGAAGUGGUGUCCGGUCCUUACCUGAGCCACCCCGCCUUGCUCAUAGACGUGGAGAUGGCAUUCUUGCCCAAGGAGGACCUGGGAACCCCGGCGCCGGCAGUGACACAUCACUGAUAGCCCUGGCAGGUGAGGCCCUGCGGUUUCCCUGCAGACUUCCUCUCCACAUCACCACGAAAGAAGAGUCUCUGGGGAGCUGGCAGGGCAUAAAGGGGUGCAGCUGGUGGGUGUCGGCUGAACAGAGUGGCUCAGCAUCUUUGAAGUUCCUGGUAACAACCCCAGUAAUCUCUGGGCCCACAAACAGGUAGGUCUCCAGGGGUCAAAGUGGUGAUCUGUGGUUCAUCGCUGGAUCCCCCAAAGCUGAACACAUCCCAGCAACACUAGAGGUCACUUUAACAGUGACUAUCUACCCUGGUUAUGAAAUUCUGUCCCUGGGAAGGUGCAGCAAGCCCAGAAACCUUCCCUCGAUUGGUUUUGUCUUUGUGAAGUCAGUCAGUGGAUGCAGGAGAGUAGUCUCAAGUCAUCAGUCAGACCUUCUCAAACUCUGGUUCUUCCCUGUUCCUGGUACGGGGCACCUCAGAGCCUUUCUUUGCAAGACUGGACAACACCCAUCUGAGCAUUUGAGUGACAGUGGCCAAAAAUCACCCAGUGUUAUUAUGCAGAUUCUGGCUCCCUAAGUCCAACGCGGAGCUCAAGAGUCUGCAUUUCCAAGGAUCUCCCAGAGAACGAACAGGGGCACAGGGUGCACCACCUAGCUUGUAGGUGCGUCCUCAAAUGCCAUGUGAGGCAUUAUUCUGCGUCCAUACUGUUCUCCUAUCAGCACCACGGAGAGCGCCCCGGGGUCACCGCAAGGACCCCUACCCCGGGCCGCUCGCCCGGCUCACCGCUGACUGUGGGGUCUUCGCCGUAAUCGUCGUCUCCCACGAGCGCCUCGGCCAUGGCGCGCCUCAUGGCCGGCCCUGGCCGGGUCACAGUGUCGCUGCGCAGGUCUACCACCUGGGCUGGGACCCCCGCCCAGUUCCUAGACCACCGCGCCCAGGGCACCCUGAGCCCCGGGACUGCGGCCCGGGCCAGUCUGCGGAACAUGGCUGCGGUACCCGCCUUGAUCGCCUGCAGGAGCGGUGGACACUCUUCCGGGCCUGCGGGGUAUCCGUGAGGCUGGACUAUUCUGACCCGGCACCGACCCGAGCUGGGUGGGCCCAGGGCACUCUGGGAGUCGUAGUUCUCUCUGGAACUUUGUACAGUAUGGUGAGUCCCGCAGCAUGCUGGGAAUUGUAGUUCGUGUUCGCCGUGCAGAGAAUUUGGGAUGAUAGUUCCUUGCUUUGCUGAAGGGGUAAUCUUUUAUGCCGCUGACGUCCAGGUGACUUUUAGCGUGUACCUGGCACUGCUCCUGACACUGAAAAUUUAACUUAGUUAAGCGUCCAGCCCCUAAACAACCUGGGUGCUGGGAAUACUGCUGAGCCGACUGUCCAGCCCUUCACAGUCCUUGUUUCUUCACACCGGAGGAAAACACACUGUAAACGCCGCUGGGAGUUCCUCAAAGUCCAGGAAUCAUAUAUGGUACCAUGUUGCCCCUAAAGAGUCUUUUCAAAUUUUCUCUUCUGAAACAGGGUCUCAUGUAUCCCAGGCUAGUUUUAGACUCACUGUGUA